RNAcentral lists this ribosomal RNA (495 nucleotides) under uncultured bacterium. Its description in RNAcentral is "partial 16S ribosomal RNA". It matches the Rfam family "Bacterial small subunit ribosomal RNA", at positions 28 to 507 of the family's 1533-position model. The record is from RNAcentral.
GACGAACGCUGGCGGCGUGCCUAAUACAUGCAAGUAGAACGCUGAAGGAGGAGCUUGCUUCUCUGGAUGAGUUGCGAACGGGUGAGUAACGCGUAGGUAACCUGCCUGGUAGCGGGGGAUAACUAUUGGAAACGAUAGCUAAUACCGCAUAAGAGUAGAUGUCGCAUGACAUUUGCUUAAAAGGUGCAAUUGCAUCACUACCAGAUGGACCUGCGUUGUAUUAGCUAGUUGGUGAGGUAACGGCUCACCAAGGCAACGAUACAUAGCCGACCUGAGAGGGGGAUCGGCCACACUGGGACUGAGACACGGCCCAGACUCCUACAGGAGGCAGCAGUAGGGAAUCUUCGGCAAUGGACGGAAGUCUGACCGAGCAACGCCGCGUGAGUGAAGAAGGUUUUCGGAUCGUAAAGCUCUGUUGUAAGAGAAGAACGAGUGUGAGAGUGGAAAGUUCACACUGUGACGGUAUCUUACCAGAAAGGGACGGCUAACUACGUG